GAUGAACGCUGGCGGCGUGCCUAAUACAUGCAAGUCGAGCGAACAGACGAGGAGCUUGCUCCUCUGACGUUAGCGGCGGACGGGUGAGUAACACGUGGAUAACCUACCUAUAAGACUGGGAUAACUUCGGGAAACCGGAGCUAAUACCGGAUAAUAUAUUGAACCGCAUGGUUCAAUAGUGAAAGACGGUUUUGCUGUCACUUAUAGAUGGAUCCGCGCCGCAUUAGCUAGUUGGUAAGGUAACGGCUUACCAAGGCAACGAUGCGUAGCCGACCUGAGAGGGUGACCGGCCACACUGGAACUGAGACACGGUCCAGACUCCUACGGGAGGCAGCCGUAGGGAAUCUUCCGCAAUGGGCGAAAGCCUGACGGAGCAACGCCGCGUGAGUGAUGAAGGUCUUCGGAUCGUAAAACUCUGUUAUUAGGGAAGAACAAAUGUGUAAGUAACUAUGCACGUCUUGACGGUACCUAAUCAGAAAGCCACGGCUAACUACGUG
This 497-nucleotide ribosomal RNA is filed under the name uncultured bacterium. RNAcentral describes it as "partial 16S ribosomal RNA". It matches the Rfam family "Bacterial small subunit ribosomal RNA", at positions 28 to 507 of the family's 1533-position model. The record is from RNAcentral.